UGUAGUUUAGUGGUAAGAAGUCCACGUUGUGGCGGUGGAGACCUGGGCUCAAAUCCCAGCA
Molecule: transfer RNA, 61 nt
Filed under: Ipomoea nil (Japanese morning glory)
Lineage: Eukaryota; Viridiplantae; Streptophyta; Magnoliopsida; Solanales; Convolvulaceae
Rfam family: tRNA
About the family: Transfer RNA (tRNA) molecules are approximately 80 nucleotides in length.
Source: Rfam by way of RNAcentral